Molecule: ribosomal RNA, 587 nt
Filed under: uncultured bacterium
Lineage: Bacteria
Description: bacterial SSU rRNA
Rfam family: Bacterial small subunit ribosomal RNA
Source: RNAcentral
ACGGGUGAGUAAUACAUCGGAACGUGCCCAGUAAUGGGGGAUAACUAUCCGAAAGGAUAGCUAAUACCGCAUACGCCCUGAGGGGGAAAGUGGGGGACCGCAAGGCCUCACGUUAUUGGAGCGGCCGAUGGCCGAUUAGCUAGUUGGUGAGGUAAAGGCUCACCAAGGCGACGAUCAGUAGCGGGUCUUAGAGGACGAUCCGCCACACUGGAACUGAGACACGGUCCAGACUCCUACGGGAGGCUGCAGUGGGGAAUCUUGGACAAUGGGCGCAAGCCUGAUCCAGCAAUGCCGCGUGGGUGAAGAAGGCCUUCGGGUUGUAAAGCCCUUUUGUUUGGGAGCAAAUCCUUGUCGUUAAUACCGGCUGGGGAUGAGAGUACCAAAAGAAUAAGCACCGGCUAACUACGUGCCAGCAGCCGCGGUAAUACGUAGGGUGCAAGCGUUAAUCGGAAUUACUGGGCGUAAAGCGUGCGCAGGUGGUUAUACAAGACCGACGUGAAAUCCCCGGGCUCAACCUGGGAAUGGCGUUGGUGACUGUAUGGCUAGAGUGUGGCAGAGGGGGGUGGAAUUCCACGUGUAGCAGUGAA